Molecule: non-coding RNA, 849 nt
Organism: Dermatophagoides farinae (American house dust mite)
Lineage: Eukaryota; Metazoa; Arthropoda; Arachnida; Sarcoptiformes; Pyroglyphidae
Source: RefSeq, a predicted model, not a curated record
GUAAUGUUGUGUGUGUGUGUGUGUGUGUAUGUUGAGUUUGGAUCAUCAUCAUCAUGAUCAUUAGAAAUAAAAAACCAUUCGUGUAUUGCUAUCCAUUCAACCGUUCAGAAUCCUUCAUCAUACAUCUAAUUUGAUUUUUUAUUUGUUUUGGUUUCAAACCAAACACACACACACACACACAUUCAAGAAUCAUCAAUACAAAACAGCUGCUGCUAUGUGUUUGGAUUUUGGAAUUGAAUUCUACGAUGAUUCUACAAUUUGAGUGAUUCAUCAAUGAAUGAAUGAAUGAAUGAAUAACAGGAAAAAUCAUUGCAUCUAAUUAUACAAAUAAUUUUUUUUUUCUGUCGGUGUUUUUUCUUUCAUUAUUAUUAUUUUUUUUUAUUGUCAUUGUUGUUGUUAAUAAUUUCCAUAGUGUCGAUGUCCACUAAUAUAAUAUCAUCAUUCUGAUUGUCUGAUCUCAUAAUCAUCAUCAUCGUCAUCAUCAUUAUCACUUAAUUAUCAAUUAUUAACUCAAUGGUGAAAUUGAAAACCGGAUCUGAAUUGUUUCAAUGAGAAGGAGAAAAACAUCAAUACACAAACAUCCUUGCAUUUUUGAUAUUAAAAAGCAACGGAAUUUUUCGUUUCACUUUUUUUUUAUCACAAGAAAUUCCAUCCAUCCAUGCAUUUUUUUUUUCAUUUCGAAUUUGUCGUUUCCUAUGUCGUCAACGAUAUUGUGACCGUGUGUGUGUGUGUGUGUGUGUGUUGUGAAAAUUGUUGCUGUUGUUGUGGGUGGUUGAAAUUUAUUUUGUACAUUCAUUUCUCAUAUAUCGUCAUUGUCAUUCGAUAUGUUGCAUUAUAAUAAUAAUAAUA